UGGGGAAUAUUGGACAAUGGGCGAAAGCCUGAUCCAGCCAUGCCGCGUGUGUGAAGAAGGUCUUCGGAUUGUAAAGCACUUUAAGUUGGGAGGAAGGGCAUUAACCUAAUACGUUAGUGUUUUGACGUUACCGACAGAAUAAGCACCGGCUAACUCUGUGCCAGCAGCCGCGGUAAUACAGAGGGUGCAAGCGUUAAUCGGAAUUACUGGGCGUAAAGCGCGCGUAGGUGGUUUGUUAAGUUGGAUGUGAAAUCCCCGGGCUCAACCUGGGAACUGCAUUCAAAACUGACUGACUAGAGUAUGGUAGAGGGUGGUGGAAUUUCCUGUGUAGCGGUGAAAUGCGUAGAUAUAGGAAGGAACACCAGUGGCGAAGGCGACCACCUGGACUAAUAAUGACACUGAGGUGCGAAAGCGUGGGGAGCAAACA
RNAcentral lists this ribosomal RNA (427 nucleotides) under uncultured bacterium. RNAcentral's name for it is "partial 16S ribosomal RNA". It matches the Rfam family "Bacterial small subunit ribosomal RNA", at positions 355 to 774 of the family's 1533-position model. The record is from RNAcentral.